Helianthus annuus (common sunflower) is the source of this 285-nucleotide long non-coding RNA. RefSeq lists it as uncharacterized. The transcript has 3 exons. NCBI's taxonomy places the organism in Eukaryota, Viridiplantae, Streptophyta, Magnoliopsida, Asterales, Asteraceae. The record is from RefSeq and is a predicted model, not a curated record.
AACUAAUGCAUGAACUCAAAACUUUAAUCAUCUAAGCUUGUACAUCGAAUGGUAUAAAGGAAGAAAGUUCAAGUCAAGCAAAGCAACAAGGGAAUCAAGAUCGAGGUAAAUCUCAAGUUUAGCUUUCAAGCUUCGCCCGGUUCGAGCACACUUCAAGGCCCGUCCCAUAUUCCGCUACUUUUGUAAAGAAGACAAUGUUUAAUACUUUGGUCGCUUUGUUUAUAUCUAGUACUUAAAAACUUAGUUCGUGUUAUGUAUUUUGAACUUAAUGAUUCUCGUAUGUGU